GCUGCUUCUCUGUCUUUUGGCUAAAAUCAACAGUAGUGUCUGUUCUUAUCAGUUUAAUAUCUGAUACAUCCUCUAUAUGAGGGUUAUAUAUUAAAUAGAUUUUUAGAACAGGGAGAUGGAAGAGUAGCUUGCUACGUCUGCUCCUUGCAUCGACCUGGUAUUGCAGUACCUCCAGGAAUGUUGCACCUCCU
Molecule: small nuclear RNA, 191 nt
Organism: Pygocentrus nattereri (red-bellied piranha)
Lineage: Eukaryota; Metazoa; Chordata; Actinopteri; Characiformes; Serrasalmidae
Gene: U2
Rfam family: U2 spliceosomal RNA
About the family: U2 is a small nuclear RNA (snRNA) component of the spliceosome (involved in pre-mRNA splicing). Complementary binding between U2 snRNA (in an area lying towards the 5' end but 3' to hairpin I) and the branchpoint sequence (BPS) of the intron results the bulging out of an unpaired adenosine, on the BPS, which initiates a nucleophilic attack at the intronic 5' splice site, thus starting the first of two transesterification reactions that mediate splicing.
Source: Ensembl